This is a long non-coding RNA of Phyllostomus hastatus (greater spear-nosed bat), 1668 nucleotides long. RefSeq lists it as uncharacterized. The record is from RefSeq and is a predicted model, not a curated record. NCBI's taxonomy places the organism in Eukaryota, Metazoa, Chordata, Mammalia, Chiroptera, Phyllostomidae. The transcript has 2 exons.
UUCUUUAGGGCAGGGAUCAUAUAAUCAUAAUAUAUCAAGUAUAUAAUCAAACAUGUCAUAGAUAUAUUUUCAUCUCUGUCUUCCUCAAGCCUUAAAAAAGGUGUGCUGGGUGGCAGUUGAAUGAAUGAAAAAGCGGCAUUCACAGAUUCAUAGAUGCUUGAAGAUUAAUGGCUAACUGGAGGUUAAAGUACUAGCAUUAAAGGUUCGACGAUCGCAUGACAGUACGCUGUUUGCUACCAAUCAACCUAACACUUAGUAGCACUUAAAAAGUUUUGAAAAAAUAUUAUGACGAUAAACUCCCCAUUCCACAAAUAGCCGGAGACCAGAGUACUACCUUUACAAUAAUUUUCCUUGGCUGAUUUUAUCGAGCGGCUCAGUGCCCUAGUAAGACUUUAGCCAAGAACUGGACCGUGACAGGCGUUUAGAGUUCAAAUCUCUAAAACCCAAUUGCACGCCGGCGUACCGGAACCAAACAGUUCGCGCUGCAGUUUCCGAGGGAGAUGCUUGAGUACGUUACGAGGAAUCGAUUGCUCCUGCCUGACGGAGGUCUCCCGGAAGAGGACUGCGAGCUCGGAGGCUGCGAAAGAGCGUGUUCUUGUCCUGGAGGCAGUUGGAGCCGCAGAGAUUGGGGGUGGGCGCGCUGGGCCUGUUUGGCAGGGCGUCCAGGUGGAUCGGAGAGUUCAGUCAUGUUUGUCUACGCAGUGACGUGGGCUUUGCUCAAGAACAAGACCCUCCGCUGCAGUGUUUUCUUGUUGGUGUCGGAGUUGGAGAGUUUUCCUAGAAAUUGUGAUCGACCAGAACCCUGGAGAAGGUGUAAAGAAUGGAGUGAACCUAAUGUGCAAAGCAAAUGGACCUGAGAGGUACAAGGGGUGGAGCGUAGCAGACAAUGUUGGUGCUCUGUCUGGAUGUCCUGGCUUUCAUUUUAUUGGUUCAGUGCACCCAUUCUUCUCCAUCUGCUGAAUGUGAUGCUGCUAAUGGCUCACACCUGCGACGUUUUCUAGAGGCUUCCCCUUGGUAGAUUGGAGCAACAACACCAGGAGCUAGUCAUCUGGAAGUAAUGCACUACUCAUCCCUUUAACAGCCAGUAAACAGUGACUGCCUAAUGCCUGAUACGGAGGUACAGAAGCCUCACUUCCUUGUCGGAAUGGGGCAAAGACUGUGGUGUGGUGUGUACGCCAGAGCCCCUGGGUGAUUUCAGGGGCCGAGGCUACACUGAGCUGAAACCACACUUUUGCUUUGCUUCUUCCCUUGGCCUUUUCCAUGAGGUUUUUGUUUUUGUUUUUGUUUUUGUUUGGUAUAGUUAUGAGGCUGGACCUUAAAAGAUGCUGCUGAUAUGCUGAUGGGUCUAAAACAGGCAGCUCAGGGUUAUGUUGCGCCCAAGAUUUCUCAUAUAAUUAUGAAAUUCCCCCCUUGAAAAACUCAGUUGUAUCUUUUCUGCUUUUGUAAAGUUUAUUCUAUGUUUUCCCUAAUGUCUAAAGACUGAAUGCUAAGUUCAUUAAUGUUGAGCCUCUUUUGUACUUAGGAAUAUAUAAUUAUCCAUUUUCCUCAAAAUAAGAUUUUAGCAGCAUCUCACAAGUUUUGAAUAUGACUUUAUCAUUCAGUUCUAAGAAUUUAUGAUGUCCAUUAUGACUUUUUUAACCCCCAAAUAAAAGUUUAAAUUUCCAAAUA